Molecule: long non-coding RNA, 1370 nt
Organism: Arachis stenosperma
Lineage: Eukaryota; Viridiplantae; Streptophyta; Magnoliopsida; Fabales; Fabaceae
Exons: 5
Source: RefSeq, a predicted model, not a curated record
GCGAGUCCCUAACCCGCAUACACCCCCCACACCAGACACCCCUACUCCUCCUUCGAAACACACACUCAAGCCCUAGGGUUCCCCAAACGGCCAAACCUAAAACCCAGCAACCCAGCUUCGUCAAUUGAACCGCCGCCGCCGUUCGUGGUUGUCGGCGUCUCUGCGGCCUCCUCCUUCCCUUGUCCCAAAUCCAUACGGCCAGACCUUCUCUUCUAGGCUUUCUAGCUCGGCACGUCGUCCUGUCUUCGUCGGUGACUUCGCUGUUCGAGGCUUCCAGCUGCUACGCCGUCGUCGUCCUGCUGUCAGUGGAAGAUGGAAGUAUUAAUCAAGAAGCAGUUGCUGAUAACAAUACAUCUUUGAGUUUAGAGCAAAGAAGCUCCUCGAGCAGGCAACAUUGUUGAACAGAUUGUGGUUCAAAUCAGAGUGGUCUUGGCAUUUGUUGGGGAGAAUAGAGCACUGCAAGGUUACUCAUCUGCACUGUGGAUUGUUCAGCAGCGGCUCCGAAAAGAGCACCGUUGUGUCCCUCAUAGAGAGAUUCUAUGACCGUUUAUCAGGACAAAUUUUGCUAGAUGGGAAUGAUGUUAAGAGUUUGAAGCCAAAAUGGCUGAGGCAGCAAAUAGGACUAGUGAGCCAAGAACUGGCUUUGUUUGCGACAACAUUCAGAAGCUGACCAAGUUGAGAUUGAAGAAGCUGCAAGAGUAGCCAAGUUUAUAAUUUAUUUAUGGGUAAAGUAUAUUUUCUGUCCCUGAAGUUUGAUAAAAGUUUUAAAAAUACCCCUAAGUUUUAUUUUGUUUCAAUUUUAUCCCAAAAGUUUUCGAUUUGCAUCAAAUAUAUCCUUGACGGCUAAUUUUUCAAAAAAUUUAAGACCAAUUCAAUAACAAUUUCAUAAGAACAACCCUCAACACAAGUAAAUCAAGCAUAAUUUUCAUGCGUUAUUAUUAGAUUGAUCUUAAAUUUUUUUAAAAUUUAGCCGUCGAGGGUAUGUUUGAUGCAAAUCGAAAACUUCUGGGACAAAAUUGAAACAAAAUAAAACUUAGGGAUAUUUUUGAAACUUUUGCCAAACUUCAGGGACAAAAAGUAUACUUUACCCUUUAUUUAUUUUAUUCUAAAACGAUUUUUCUGGUUGAACUACGGUUAGACCAAUAAAUCAGUAAAUCAGUGAUUAGAACGGUUUGAUAACCGAUCCGGUUCUCAGAACCUUGAUAUAAUCACCGAUAUUUAUUUUUAAAAAUGUCUGAUUAAAAUAUGAUUGUGGUACGGAAUUUGAAAAUUUGGAAUGUCAUUAUUCAUAUGCAAACUUUGUAGAGCAUUAUUAUGCUGAUGUUAAGAAAACCAAAAAAUUGAUCAAAUCCUAAUCUUUCAAAAACUUC